This 293-nucleotide ribosomal RNA is filed under the name uncultured bacterium. RNAcentral's name for it is "partial 16S ribosomal RNA". It matches the Rfam family "Bacterial small subunit ribosomal RNA", at positions 505 to 796 of the family's 1533-position model. The record is from RNAcentral.
GUGUCAGCAGCCGCGGUAAGACGGAGGAUGCAAGCGUUAUCCGGAAUGAUUGGGCGUAAAGCGUCCGCAGGUGGCAAUUCAAGUCUGCUGUUAAAGCGCAGGGCUUAACUCUGUAAAGGCAGUGGAAACUGAAUAGCUAGAGUGUGGUAGGGGUAGAGGGAAUUCCCAGUGUAGCGGUGAAAUGCGUAGAGAUUGGGAAGAACAUCGGUGGCGAAGGCGCUCUACUGGACCAUAACUGACACUCACAGGACGAAAGCUAGGGGAGCGAAUGGGAUUAGAUACCCCCGUAGUCC